RNAcentral lists this long non-coding RNA (478 nucleotides) under Trifolium pratense (red clover). RNAcentral describes it as "long non-coding RNA (TPRA_LNC008523)". Lineage: Eukaryota; Viridiplantae; Streptophyta; Magnoliopsida; Fabales; Fabaceae. The record is from RNAcentral.
UCAACUAGAAUAUGUUUGUUUUCCUUCUGUUUAUUGAAUGAAAUCUUUUACCACUAAAACAAAAUAGCUCAAUACACAACCUGUCUAAAGCACCCGACUACCCGAGAAAAUACGCAUAGUAAUCUCAAAGAGUAAACGAUAAAUCUUUCAUUAUUGUUAGUAUAUUUUUUCUAUAAAAGUACAAAAUCCCAUUGUUCUUUCAAGCACUAGAAAUGGCAAGGGCCAAAGAAAAGAUCCAGAGUAUGUUUACUAUUGUUUUUCUUCUAUAAUCUGUUGUUACUGCAACUGCUUCCUUUAAGUUUCUGCACAUCCAUGGUAGCUUCAUGCAGGUGGGCAGAGAUAAGGAAUGUACACAUAAUAAAAGCUGCUUCACAGAAUUUUCUUGGAUGCAUCAAACUCCAUGCACUGAUGCACGGACAAAAGAAUAUUCAUUUUGACUGCUGAAAAUCUAAAUCUAAUUUCCUUUUCAAAUGUGAUC